Molecule: ribosomal RNA, 497 nt
Filed under: uncultured bacterium
Lineage: Bacteria
Description: partial 16S ribosomal RNA
Rfam family: Bacterial small subunit ribosomal RNA
Source: RNAcentral
GAUGAACGCUGGCGGCGUGCCUAAUACAUGCAAGUCGAGCGAACGGACGAGAAGCUUGCUUCUCUGAUGUUAGCGGCGGACGGGUGAGUAACACGUGUAUAACCUACCUAUAAGACUGGGAUAACUUCGGGAAACCGGAUCUAAUACCGUAUAAUAUUUUGAACCGCAUGGUUCAAAGGUGAAAGACGGUCUUGCUGUCACUUAUAGAUGGAUCCGCGCUGCAUUAGCUAGUUGGUAAGGUAACGGCUUACCAAGGCAACGAUGCAUAGCCGACCUGAGAGGGUGAUCGGCCACACUGGAACUGAGACACGGUCCAGACUCCUACGGGAGGCAGCAGUAGGGAAUCUGCCGCAAUGGGCGAAAGCCUGACGGAGCAACGCCGCGUGAGUGAUGAAGGUCUUCGGAUCGUAAAACUCUGUUAUUAGGGAAGAACAUAUGUGUAAGUAACUGUGCACAUCUUGACGGUACCUAAUCAGAAAGCAACGGCUAACUACGUG